GACGUAGGGGGCAAGCGUUGUUCGGAAUUAUUGGGCGUAAAGCGCUCGUAGGCGGGACAGGAAGUUCGUGUUGAAAGACCUCGGCUCAACUGAGGGACCGGCUCGAAUACUCUUGUUCUUGAGGCAAUCAGAGGGUGAUGGAAUUCCCGGUGUAGCGGUGAAAUGCGUAGAUAUCAGGAGGAACACCGGUGGCGAAGGCGGGUCUCUGGGCCGUUACUGACGCUGAGGAGCGAAAGCGUGGGGAGCGAACAGG
RNAcentral lists this ribosomal RNA (253 nucleotides) under uncultured bacterium. RNAcentral's name for it is "partial 16S ribosomal RNA". It matches the Rfam family "Bacterial small subunit ribosomal RNA", at positions 524 to 776 of the family's 1533-position model. The record is from RNAcentral.